UUAAACUUCAAUGUACAAUGUAUAAAAAUGUACUCACUAACACUUUCAGGGACUAGAAAAAAGCAAGUUUUGGCACAUAUCAAAGUAAAACAAUAAGUGUAAAAUACUUUGAACAAAAACAUAUAUCAAUAAUGACAAAAAUUUGCAAUUUAAGGUAAGAAUCUUCAACAAUAAUAUAUAUUUUAUCUACUUUUCUACCUCCAAAGUUUUGAGGGGUUAAACCCCUCUUUUUCAAGCAGUUUCUGUUUAUUUUUAUAAAUCACAUAUUUAUCUUCUUACCUGUCUUAUUUUACACUAUGUUAUGUAUACAGGAAAUGACGUCGUUGACGUCAACAAAUCAAUAUAUAUAAAAAAAUA
This is a long non-coding RNA of Ruditapes philippinarum (Manila clam), 357 nucleotides long. RefSeq lists it as uncharacterized. NCBI's taxonomy places the organism in Eukaryota, Metazoa, Mollusca, Bivalvia, Venerida, Veneridae. The record is from RefSeq and is a predicted model, not a curated record. The transcript is spliced from 2 exons.